AUUCCUACUGUUAUUGCUCGCACGAUAAUUCAUAUAAUGAUGAGCAGUACA
Vibrio sinaloensis is the source of this 51-nucleotide non-coding RNA. The record is from Rfam. Lineage: Bacteria; Pseudomonadati; Pseudomonadota; Gammaproteobacteria; Vibrionales; Vibrionaceae.